Canis lupus familiaris (dog) is the source of this 2620-nucleotide long non-coding RNA. RefSeq lists it as uncharacterized. The record is from RefSeq and is a predicted model, not a curated record. The transcript is spliced from 6 exons. Lineage: Eukaryota; Metazoa; Chordata; Mammalia; Carnivora; Canidae.
GCAGGGCCGCGGGGGCGCUCGUGGGGUCCGCCCCGGCGGGGAGGCGACCGCCCCCCCCCCGUCCCCACCCCGAGAAGCCGCGGGGAUGCCCCGAAGAGCCCGAGAUGGGCGCGCACCGCAGCGAGAAGGGGCCGAUCCCUGCCGGUGACCGGGCAAAGCCAUCGACCUCCUCCUAAGGGCGCGGGACUCGAGGUUACACCUGCAGUGCUGGCCCUAAGGGUUAUGUGCUGAGUAAUGACCUCAAACUCUGAACAGGUGUGCAAACAAGGUCUGUGAUGUUUACGAGAGGCUCUUCUUGUGACAAAAGACAGAGAAGAAAUGCGUGCCAACUUGUAGAGACGUGUACCACCCCGGCGACGGCUGGCAUGUGUCCCCUCCGCUCGUCCACUCACAUUCGGACUCUGUCUACACUGCACUGGACACGGGACUGGGAAGGCUCGCUUUUGCACAUUGUUGUUGAAAGUUGGUGGCUUUCAAAGGUCUCUGUCCACCGAAAUCAUCUGGGGGCUGACCCCCAGGCCCUACCCUGGACCGACUCAGUCUGCAUCUGAGCGCUGGUAUUUUGUUUGCUCCCCACGGGUGGGUCUGCAGUGCAGCCGGACUUCGAGACCCGCUGGUUUCGUAUCAGUUGACUUUGACAAAAGCUUCCAAGGACAGAUUUUCUUCUUCUCAUUUUGAGACGUCUGUCUGCAUCAAGCGUUGAUGCUCUCGAGGCCUGGCUUGCCUGUGGAGGUGGGUUCGGGGCGUGUGGAGGACCCUGGGAGGCACAGUGGCCGAGUGGCUGGAGAAAUGGAGUCACCUCGGGGCCAGCAGCCAGCUGGGCAAGGUCACGGCAAGUACCAGGCAGGCCCAGAGCUCCUGCGCGGGCCCAGCGGGCAACCUGCUAGCUGCCGGGGACAGGGAGAGGGAUGCAAGCUUGGCUUCUGCUUGAGGAGACCUUGGGUCACUUGCUUCACAUCCUUGCUCCUGGAUUGCACCGGGGAAUUGGCUAGAAGUACAAAUUGCUGCCCCCCCCACCCCCCGAGCUACUGACUCAGAAUCCUGGGCUGGAGGGUACAGCAAGCUGUGAUUUGACAGGCCUCGGGGGGAUGCUGAGGCCUACUCCAGUCUGAGAGCUACUAGGCGAGGUCUCUGACCUGGGUUGUAGGACACAAGCCUCCAGAGCAUCAGUUUCUUUAUCCAUAGGAUGAGGUGGCGAAUCCAUAUUCCAUAGGAUGAAAGAAGAGGAUGGGUAUAAGGCUUGCAGAAUUACCUGGACAGCAGUAACUACAACAACAACACGUUUAGUAUGUUGUUUUGUUUUUUUGUUUUUUUUUGCCACCUGCCUCCUUGCUACCUGCUCUAUCUAGAUAAUCUGAGUUAAUGCCCACAUGAGGGCUACUGUCGGCCUCUUUGUGCAGGUGAGGAAGUGAGGUACAGAGGCCCAAGGGCACCGCCAGAGCACUCCAGGGCCGGGGCUCUGCACUGACCCCCUCCCUCCCACCGCAGCACCUGGGUCCACUGGAGAAAGGCGAGACUGAGCCAUAAGCACAACCCACGAGAGGGUAAGGUACUGAAUCUCCCAGUCCACCACCUCCCCUCUCCCAGUAAGACGGAUAAAGAGGGAACAGGAUUUCUAUCCCAUCUACAGGACCCCUUUAUCUGGAAGACCAGAGUCUUGGAACAAGACCAAGUGAGAGAGGGAAAUGCGAGAAGCGGGCUGGAAGGGGGAGCUGAAGGUCUGGCGCAUCUCCAUCCCUGGACGAAAACCGUGGAAGAUUUAUGUAAAAAUAUAUCAGUGCUGUGCCCCGACAGGAACCAGAACAAACAAGCCGAUGAAAGGCUCCUCAGAGCAUGGGAACCGCACCAGCAGAGAGGCAGCUGAGACCUGAGGAUGAGCUGGGGUGCGGAGAUAGACAGAUGGGGGUGGGGUGGGGCAGGGACUUCCCCUCUGCCCCUUGCUGCUGUGCGACCCUGCGCCGGUGCCCUGGCCUCUCUGAGCCUCAGGGCCUCAACUCUGCAGUGUGUGAAGUGUUUUUCAGCUGUUAUCGUACUGAAUUCUUAUAAUUACUGGGAUACAAGCUCCACUUGCAACACAGCCUGGCUCAACCAUCACUGGGCCCAGAUUGACUAAGACCAGUGAUUCCUAGAAGCCAACUGAAGAGAGAGUGUCACCAAGGAAGCAAUGAUUAACAUCCAAUGAGUUUGUUAGAUUGAAAUAAAACAAGACUGUGGAGCAGCAGUUGGGUACAGCAAUGUGCAGGCCACUGAUGCCAUGACAAUGGUUCUUUGGUGAAUUGGUGGAGAGGAAAUUCUGACAGAUUGGAGUGAAAGACAGCUGCCUGGGUUCAGGGGGAGAGUGGAAGUGACGAGGAUUAAACCAGGACUGGAGUUAUUCCAGGAGCAGGUGAGGAAGUGGUCCAAAGAAGCAGAAGAGCAUAGAACUGGAAGGAAAACUAAAUAUAAUUUCAUCCGCAUGAGCAGGAGCUGAUUCGUCAGUGAACCCACACAUUUAACUGAGAACCUUCCUUGUGUUUAAGAAUAAAGUAGAGGAGACUUGUGCAUGUGAAACUGGACCCCGUCUUUGGUUAUUUCCAUUGGUGACUCAACCUUUCCAAUUCUCUAUGAUUUGACCAUUAUU